GGGCUUGUGGUCCAGUGGUUAUGACGCUUCCCUCACACGGAAGAAAUCGCCGGUUCAAAUCCGGCCAGGCCCA
RNAcentral lists this transfer RNA (73 nucleotides) under Ferroplasma acidiphilum. RNAcentral's name for it is "tRNA-Val". It matches the Rfam family "tRNA". Rfam says of the family: Transfer RNA (tRNA) molecules are approximately 80 nucleotides in length. Their secondary structure includes four short double-helical elements and three loops (D, anti-codon, and T loops). RNAcentral also lists the same sequence under 4 other names. Lineage: Archaea; Methanobacteriati; Thermoplasmatota; Thermoplasmata; Thermoplasmatales; Ferroplasmaceae. The record is from RNAcentral.